RNAcentral lists this transfer RNA (77 nucleotides) under Tenacibaculum geojense. RNAcentral's name for it is "tRNA-Arg". It matches the Rfam family "tRNA". From Rfam's summary of the family: Transfer RNA (tRNA) molecules are approximately 80 nucleotides in length. Their secondary structure includes four short double-helical elements and three loops (D, anti-codon, and T loops). RNAcentral also lists the same sequence under 2 other names. Lineage: Bacteria; Pseudomonadati; Bacteroidota; Flavobacteriia; Flavobacteriales; Flavobacteriaceae. The record is from RNAcentral.
GGCUCCGUAGUUCAACUGGAUAGAAUAUCAGAUUUCGGCUCUGAGGGUUGAGGGUUCGAAUCCUUCCGGAGUCACCA